Molecule: unclassified non-coding RNA, 334 nt
Filed under: Hevea brasiliensis (rubber tree)
Lineage: Eukaryota; Viridiplantae; Streptophyta; Magnoliopsida; Malpighiales; Euphorbiaceae
Source: RNAcentral
UGCCAUUCCUUCAUUCAAUGACAACGCACUCAAACUCAAGAAAAAGCUUUCUAAUUGCCUUUCCUGUUAUCAAGUUCGGAGGUGGUGUGCUUUUGAAUGGUUGUACAGUGCAAUUGAUUACCCAUGGUUCGCUAAAGGGGAGUUUUGUGGAACACCUGGAUCAUGUUGGAUUGGGCCAUAUUCCAAGAUUAACUCAUGUUUGAAUAGGGUGUCAUAAGGAGUUCCCUUGGUAAAACCACGUAGAUUUUCAGAGCAAUUUUUGAAGGAAGAGAAAGAGAAGCUUAAUCAAUACUGGGAAUCUGUCAGAAAACAUUACACAGAACUUCGUGCUGGU